This 148-nucleotide non-coding RNA is filed under the name Gorilla gorilla gorilla (western lowland gorilla). Lineage: Eukaryota; Metazoa; Chordata; Mammalia; Primates; Hominidae. The record is from Rfam by way of RNAcentral.
GCCGGGCGUGGUGGCGCGCGCCUGUAAUCCCAGCUACUUGGGAGGCUGAGGCAGGGGAAUCGCUUGAACCCGGGAGGCAGAGGUUGCAGUGAACUGAGAUUGCACCACUGCACUCCAGCCUGGGCAACAGAGUGAGACUCCACCUCAA